Camelina sativa (false flax) is the source of this 462-nucleotide long non-coding RNA. RefSeq lists it as uncharacterized. NCBI's taxonomy places the organism in Eukaryota, Viridiplantae, Streptophyta, Magnoliopsida, Brassicales, Brassicaceae. The record is from RefSeq and is a predicted model, not a curated record.
UAAAGAGUUUAGACCUUCAGAAAAAAACAAAAAAAAAAAAGUUUAGAUCUUCAGACCCAAGAAAGAUGUAUGUGGUGAUUCGUUUAAUAACAUUGAUGAUUCUCCUGUUCUUUGCAUCAUCAAACACAGUCUCCGCUCGAUUACAAUACGUUCACAAAUCUCUCAGUACAACAGAAAGGGUUUGGGAUCGUCAACAAGUCCUCUUCGAGAUCAAGGGUAGUGUGAGCCCAAGUGUUUCACGACCUGCAGGCCAAGGAGGAGGUCCACCAUAGAGACAAUAGUUAAUUGGUAUAAGUAUGACGACUAAUGAGAUUUUUUAUAUAUGUCAACUCACUCUUUAAGGGGGUUUUAACUCAUCUUGUAAGUUGUAACGCUAUACUGUCAUCAUCAAAUCUUCCUUUUAAUUUUUGGUUAUAUGCAAAUAGUUUUUGUUUUUACUGAAUAAAUAUUUUAAUUUUAAUU